This is a long non-coding RNA of Rosa rugosa (rugosa rose), 592 nucleotides long. RefSeq lists it as uncharacterized. Lineage: Eukaryota; Viridiplantae; Streptophyta; Magnoliopsida; Rosales; Rosaceae. The record is from RefSeq and is a predicted model, not a curated record. The transcript has 4 exons.
UGAUGAUGGUGAAGACGACGAGAUAAGUGAAGAGGGCCUUGCUAGGUUUGAACAGAAUUGUGAUUUUGCAGGGAGCAUGACGAUAGUGGGUCAGUGCGUUUGUGCUUAAAGGAAUGAGCUUUUUUGUUGUUUGAAUACACUAAGAUCUAAUCGAUGGCCAAUUUGUUGAUUCUGCAUCAGUUAUUCUGAAACACCUCCUGGAGAGUCAAUCGACAUUGAUAACAUUUUGGCUUCAAUCAAGGAUCUUUAAAUUAACCCAUAUAGCAUUAGAGAGUUCCUGCCGAAGGUUAACUGAGAGCAGUUGCUUCCAUGUAUGUUCUUGGACGAUCUGCUGAAGAAUGUGAAGCAAGUUAUGGAAGCAUGCUCGAGGGUGAGGCUAAUGGACUCAAGUGGGAGACCAUCAAGAGCAGAUUUGAGGUAUAGGCCAUGCUGGAGAUGUGUCUCUCAAUUUGUAUUAGAUCUUUUGUAAUGCCAAGAAAGUAUUGUGUAGGGUUUGUUAAUUGAAUUGUAUAAGAUUAAGGAUUCUAUCCUUGGGUUACUUAAUAAUAUUUUCUUCAUCUUCUAAACUUAAUUCAUUUCAAACAGUUCCUAU